This is a long non-coding RNA of Dreissena polymorpha, 762 nucleotides long. RefSeq lists it as uncharacterized. Lineage: Eukaryota; Metazoa; Mollusca; Bivalvia; Myida; Dreissenidae. The transcript has 3 exons. The record is from RefSeq and is a predicted model, not a curated record.
CACUCCCUUUCGUGAGUAUCUGGGUGGAGUAUUACCAUAUAACACGCAAUAACGGAAAUACACACGUUUAUCGAUACGUAGAGGUGUGAAUUAUGGUCAACGUUUCCGUUACGUCAGGCGAAUAGCUGGUUAGCUUGAUCGGAAGAGAUAUUAGCGAGAUAUCCAUCCUUAACACAUUUGAUACCUAUAUAUACAACCACGUUUUGGGAUUCACAUCAAUUCACUGCUGAGCUCUCUACAUCGCGAUAAAGAUUUGAAGAAAUAUUUCACCAGGAAUCAUGAACAAGUUCGUUGCAGUUCUUAUUGCGCAGUGUGCAUGCGUAGGCCUCGUUAUGAGUUACGGAAGUGUCACAAACACGCAGACGACAUUCGGCCAAGCGUAUCCGGGUACUGCAUUCUCCGAUCACUAUGGCUCUUACGGAACCGGAUAUGGAUUUUUCGGACUUCCGGCAAUCGGCGUCGGCAGCGGUCAGGGUGUCCCGCUAGGUGGCAGUAAUGGAAUAUUUGGAAGUUUGAUUUACUUGUUCCUGUUCGUGUUCCUUGUCAAGAUUCUGUUCCCUAGUAACGGGAACGGCGGCGUCCUUGGAUCCAUUUCCGGUUAGAUAACUUUCGGGUUAAUUAUCCCCGAUUGAGUUACAUUUCGACUCCUAAAGAAAAUGCCAUUUCCGCAAGUGCCAAAUCAUCUGGAACUGGUUAAAUUGCCUUCCAUGUAUUAAAUAUGAGUGAAUGAAUUUAUUUCCGUUCUGAGAUUAUAUAUAUAUU